RNAcentral lists this ribosomal RNA (467 nucleotides) under uncultured bacterium. Its description in RNAcentral is "partial 16S ribosomal RNA". It matches the Rfam family "Bacterial small subunit ribosomal RNA", at positions 28 to 507 of the family's 1533-position model. The record is from RNAcentral.
GACGAACGCUGGCGGCGUGCUUAACACAUGCAAGUCGAACGGUGAAGCAGAGCUUGCUCUGUGGAUCAGUGGCGAACGGGUGAGUAACACGUGAGUAACCUGCCCUUGACUCUGGGAUAAGCGUUGGAAACGACGUCUAAUACCGGAUACGAGCUGAGACCGCAUGGUCAUCAGUUGGAAAGAUUUUUUGGUCAAGGAUGGACUCGCGGCCUAUCAGCUUGUUGGUGAGGUAAUGGCUCACCAAGGCGACGACGGGUAGCCGGCCUGAGAGGGUGACCGGCCACCCUGGGACUGAGACACGGCCCAGACUCCUACGGGAGGCAGCAGUGGGGAAUAUUGCACAAUGGGCGCAAGCCUGAUGCAGCAACGCCGCGUGGGGGAUGACGGCCUUCGGGUUGUAAACCUCUUUUAGUAGGGAAGAAGCGAAAGUGACGGUACCUGCAGAAAAAGCACCGGCUAACUACGUG